This is a long non-coding RNA of Mustela lutreola (European mink), 4420 nucleotides long. RefSeq lists it as uncharacterized. NCBI's taxonomy places the organism in Eukaryota, Metazoa, Chordata, Mammalia, Carnivora, Mustelidae. The record is from RefSeq and is a predicted model, not a curated record. The transcript is spliced from 2 exons.
CAAGUCUGGAGUUGGUUAGGGUUGGGGGGAGGCUGGAGGGUGGGAGAUUGGUUAGGAUAGCAAUCCUUAACCUUUAAAAUGCAUGGAAUCCCUGGGGGGUCUUGUUAAAAUGCAGAUUCUGAUUCAGCAGGUCUGAGAUCCAUCAUUUUUAACAAGCUCCCAGGUGAUGUUGUAUUGUUGAUCCAAAGAGCACACUUGAACAGCAAGUGGUAGCAGACUUGUAAGGGCCCUGCGGAGAGAAGAUGGUCUGACUCCAGCAGAGCGGAGGGGAUGAGUGAAGCACUGGGGUUGAGGAUGUCAAGAAGGUGGGAUCUUAAGACCAGGACUGGGACUGCUGAGUAGGGCAAGACCCGGGAAAUAACUCUCAGAGGGGCAGCUUGGGGAUUUGGUUGAUGGGGCUUUUCUGUCCACUCGCUGAUAGACCCCAGGAGUGAGGACGGGGGGUGGAGCUGGUAAGGAGCCACUUUGGACCCCCUGGCAUCGCGUGUUUGUGGCACACACGAGAUGCUCAGUAGGCAGUGGAUGGUUUCUGUCUGUAUCAGCAGAGUCUGGGCUGGAGGGACCCGGAGUGAGAGGGUCAGAAGGCUGUCCAGAGAAGCUAGAGCGUUCAUGGAAUUCGGAGAGGGACUUUUAAGAAGGAGGAAGUGAUGCCAGGGUCACAUGCCAUUGAGAGGUCCAGAGAGGAAAGGGUUCUGCAAGGAGGAGGUCCCUGGUGACCUCAGCCUGGAAAAUUCCAGGCACUGGGGGGUGUGGGUUAAGCAUGGAUUGGAAGGCGAGAAGGGAGGGGUUAGUGGAGAAUGUGCUAGGGGGACGGGAGGGUCAGGAGACAAGGAUAGACACCUAUGGUGAGUAUGAUGAUAAUGACGGCUUGCUUUUGAUGGAGCUGGUGUGCCAGGCACUGUGCCAAAUUUCCAAUGUGCUCCUUGCAACACCACUGAGGACAUGAAGCCAUUGCUGUCUAGGGGGCUCAGAUGGAGAACAGGAGAGGGAGCCCCUUACCUCCAGUGAGCAGUGUUCCCCAAGUGUGGCCUUCCGCAAAAGCAGAGAAAGCAGCCAUGUGGGUGUGGGUUCAGGUUUGAGUGUGUGCUGGGAGUGGAAGCAUUUCAGGUACAAUUUACCUCCCUCAUGGCAGGGGCAGGGUGAGGCCCUGGGGCUCACUGGCAUGACUGAGGCCUGGAAUCAGAAGCAGACACUGAAGGCCUUCAAGCUGGAUGGUGGAGUUGGGACUGAAAAUCCUGCGGUCACGCCUGACUUCCCACUCUCCACCACUGGCCUGGCCACUUCUGUUGAAAUGUCUCUGGAAUCCUUCUCUUUGUUCCUUGACCCUCAGCGCCUUGAGCUUAAGCCUCUGCUUGCCUGGGCUAAGCCUCUCUUGGGACCUGCCUGUCCUCCCUCUGGGGGGGGGGGGUCUCUUUAUCUUGACCUACCUCUCCCAUAUCUGCCCACCAUAUGUCACAGGUGUUUUCUGGAGGUUGUCAUCUGUCCCGUGCCCCCAUCCUGUUUCAGGGGAACGUCCCACUGGGUGAUCUACCCUAGAAUUCUCUAUCUACCUUAAUCUCCCCACCCCCCAACAGCACCAACUGCUUCACCCACGGCCUUCUCCAUCUCCAGUGCUCGCAGCUCGAUCUUUCUAGCUGUUCGGGCCCCAAACCUGAAUUUCUGAUUUUGCUCCCGCCUCUGCUCUGUCAGCAGAUCCUGCCAGCUCCACCUUCAUGACACACACAGAGUCUGAUGACUUCCCACCAUCUGCACCAUCGUCCUCUCCCGUGGGUGACUGUGGUGGUCUCCUAAUUGCUCCUCCGCCUCCCCUCUCCCCUCUGACAUCGCUUCCCUACACAGUGGCCAGAGUGGUCCAAUGAAGCUGUAAGAUGAUCACGUGGCCCCUGAGCUCCAGAGAGCUCCCACUAUACUCUGGGGGAAGCCCAGCUCCUAACAGGGGCGUGUAAGUCUUACAGAGCCCGCUGCCCCAAUCGCUCUGGCUUCAUCUGCACUGUUCCCCUCGUUUCUGUUCUGUGGCCACACUGGCUUCCUUGUUGUUCCCCCGUGCGCCGUGGGCAUGCCCCUGCUUUCUCAGUUAGGCUCUCAUGGGCCCCCUUCCUUACACCCACCACCUGUGCCCUUUCUGCCCCGCCCCAACCUUCCUUACCCUUUUCCUUUGUCCUUGACCGUCUCUUUCCUAUGUUUCUAUCUGUUGGUGGUGGUCAGUGUUUCCCCUCCGAUGGAAGUGCCAUGAAGACAAGGACCUUUUUCGGAUUUGGCUGCUGUUCUCAAGGAACUAGAACUGUGCCCGGCACACCCUUGCUGUUUGAUGAAUAUUUACUGAAAGAACAGAAGGAAGGAAUUCUGAGCAUCUGUCUUUGUGCCCUGGACACUAGAUGCAGGCCCAGGAACCAAGCCUCGCCCAUCUGAUGCCUUCGUGAUCUGCUCUGAGGAUCCAAGUGACCAGAACAGAGGCUGGUGGGGUUCCUUCUUGAUGGCUUUGCCCAGAGUGCCCUGGGGGCAGGGGGACUGUGUCCGGGGCCCAUUUCUGCUGAGAGACGGCUGUACUUUUCCCUUCUUGGCCCCCAGGGCUCCAACUCUAGGUGAUCCUUUCUAUUCCUCUGUUUUUCCUAAGAAGCCAGAAUCAGUUUUCCAGACCCCUGGCUGGUUCAUCUCAGGAUCACUAAAGCCAGCAGCUCCUCAAUCAUGGUCCAGCUUGACCUCUCCCAGGAAGAGCAUAGCUAUGCCUGUGGUUUCUACCCUGACCCGGGCGCCCAUGACUUAGUCCUGAUACUUUCCAGUCCCAGGCCUUCCCCCUGGCUCCUCAGGCCAUGCCCACUUUUAUUUGUGUCUGGGAACCGAGACCAAAACUGAACUGACAGCUUGUCCCUGGACCCGCCCCUCCUCUUGUCCUACUUUGGUUAAUAGCCUCUCUCUCCUGAGAAAGAAACGUGAGGGUCCUUCUUAAUUCUUUCUCUCUCUCUCUCCCUCCUCCUCUGAAUCAGCCAGCCAGUCUCAUAAAACCAGCCUUGUCAACACCUCUUAAAUCACACUUUCCCGAAACAUGGCCCUCUUUCAGUCCUAAACAUCUCUGUGGCCAAUGUCAGCAGGUGCCUCCCAGCUGACUUCUCUUAACCAUCGUCCUCCUCACCACACCCUCCAUGUGGCUCUUGGAACCAGUCUCUGGGCUAUGCUUCUGCUGGGCACUGAAUGUUCAGGUUCCAGAAUAUCACCCUCAGACAGCUCCCUAUCCCGGGGGGUGCCCACACCCCUAAGCUCCGGAGACAGAGGGCACUAGCCAAGAGAAAAGACAGCCCAUGCACCAACUUCAGUCUCUGACCCAGCUGAGCCAAGAGAGAGACUGGAUGGCUCUGGGCUCACACUCACCACUGUACCGCUCACAGAAAACAGGUCUCAUCAGAAUGAAUGGAAGAGUGUCCUUGCUUUGAAUGAAAUGCCAAUGAAGGAUAACUUAAGCUAAUUAUCGAGUCAUGCCGGAAGCCAAAUUAUAGGCAUUGUCAUGUUAUAAACACCAUUUCUCAAGAGAGCAGCUUGGAGACAUCUGGGCAGCUGGAAGCCUGAGCUCAUUAUCUUCCCCUCCAACCUGCUCUGUCUCCUCCUGCAUCCCACCCAUGAUAUGCGGGAAGCCUCAGCCUUCCCUCCGCCCCAUGGCCAGUCGCUCAUUCUCCCUCAAAUAACCAUGGUUGUGGUCUCCGACUCCCAUCCGGUCUUCACCAUCUCUUGCAGGAACUGUGGGUGAGUGACAGAGAGUGAUGCCUCUGCUUUCCUCAUCUGCAAAAAAGGAUUUUUGUUUUAAACACAGUGAAGGUUUCACUUUAAUCAAGUAUGCCAGAUGCAGGGCAUGGAGUUGAGUUCAAGCUGAACAUUUGGGAAAUGCUAGUUCUCUAUUCCCUUCAUGCUUCCGCACCCUUCCCCUUGCCAAGUCGGACCACAUGAUUUCUUUCGCUUAAAAGUGGUCCUUGGGAUGCCUGGGUGGCUCAGUGGGUGAAGCCUCCGCCCUACGGCUCAGGUCAUGAUCUCAAGGUUCUGGGAUCAAGCCCUGAGUCCGGGCUCUCUGCUCAGUGGGAGCCUUCUUCCCCCAGUCUCUCUGCCUGCCUCUCUGCCUACUUGUGAUCUCUCUCUCUGUCAAAUUAAAAAAAAAAAAAUGUCCUUAAUUUCCCAACCUAUAGGAUAAAAUCCAAAUUUGUUUUAUUUUUUAAAGAUUUUAUUUAUUUAGGGACGCAUGGGUGCCUGAGUUGUUUAAGCAGCUGCCUUCCGCUCAGGUCACGAUCCCAGCAUCCUGAGAUCGAGUCCCACAUCGGGCUCCUUGCUCAGCAGCGAAGGGAACCUGCUUCUCCCUCUGCCUCUGCCUGCCACUCUGUCUGCCCCUGCUCACUCUCUCACUCUCUCUCUCUGACAAAUAAAUAAAUGAAAUCUUUUU